GGGGCAGUGGCGGAAUGGCAGACGCAGCGGACUUAAAAUCCGUCGGGAUAAAACCCGUGUGGGUUCGACUCCCACCUGCCCCA
Molecule: transfer RNA, 83 nt
Filed under: Pseudomonadota bacterium
Lineage: Bacteria; Pseudomonadati; Pseudomonadota
Also listed under: 1 other name
Description: tRNA-Leu
Rfam family: tRNA
About the family: Transfer RNA (tRNA) molecules are approximately 80 nucleotides in length.
Source: RNAcentral